UACGUAGGGUGCGAGCGUUAAUCGGAAUUACUGGGCGUAAAGCGUGCGCAGGCGGUUCGUUGUGUCGGUGGUGAAAGCCCCGGGCUUAACCUGGGAAUGGCCAUGGAAACUGGCGAACUGGAGUGCCGGAGGGGAGAGUGGAAUUCCUGGUGUAGCGGUGAAAUGCGUAGAUAUCAGGAGGAACACCGGUGGCGAAGGCGGGUCUCUGGGCCGAUACUGACGCUGAGGAGCGAAAGCGUGGGGAGCGAACAGG
Molecule: ribosomal RNA, 253 nt
Filed under: uncultured bacterium
Lineage: Bacteria
Description: partial 16S ribosomal RNA
Rfam family: Bacterial small subunit ribosomal RNA
Source: RNAcentral